GGAAGGCCUUUGGGUUGUAAACCUCUUUUCUCAGGGAAGAAGAUCUGACGGUACCUGAGGAAUAAGCAUCGGCUAACUCCGUGCCAGCAGCCGCGGUAAUACGGAGGAUGCAAGCGUUAUCCGGAAUUAUUGGGCGUAAAGCGUCCGCAGGUGGUCUUUCAAGUCUGCUGUCAAAGACCAGAGCUUAACUCUGGGCAGGCGGUGGAAACUGAGAGACUAGAGUUCGGUAGGGGUAGCGGGAAUUCCC
RNAcentral lists this ribosomal RNA (247 nucleotides) under uncultured cyanobacterium. Its description in RNAcentral is "partial 16S ribosomal RNA". It matches the Rfam family "Bacterial small subunit ribosomal RNA", at positions 409 to 671 of the family's 1533-position model. Lineage: Bacteria; Bacillati; Cyanobacteriota. The record is from RNAcentral.